AUCGGUUUAAGAAAUAGCCACUUGAAAGUGUAUGGGUUACAGAUAAAAAAAUGGAACAUUUUCAUGUUUCUUUUUUCCUUGUGAAGCUUUGUCUUUAGGAUUUUUAACUGUUAGAAUGAUGCGAGGGAAUAAUCUUUUGGGGACCACCUCAGGGGUGUUUGGUGUGUGGAAGGUUAUACUUGAAGUUGCAAAGAAACCUGAAAUAACUACCAGAAAAUAUGGAGUUAGUGCUUUACUUUGCUAUGUUAUGAAAGGAACCUCAUCAAGGCUCCAUUCUAAAGCAGAAAGAGUAUUGCGGUUAUUGAUGAGCAAUUCAGUACUUUGAGCUGGCGAUAAAUACACAGAUGGCAAGCCCUAUCUCUAUGCUAGAGAACUAUUGUUAUCGUCCUAUAUUUUUUGUUUUUUUUUUUUGUGUUUCAUUACUAUGACAUUUUUUUUUCUUAUUCUCUUGAUAUCUUUAAAUUUGUCAGUGAAUCUAUGCGACUGAUAUUGAAUUGUCAAUUCUUAUUA
Long non-coding RNA from Humulus lupulus (European hop), 510 nucleotides. RefSeq lists it as uncharacterized. Lineage: Eukaryota; Viridiplantae; Streptophyta; Magnoliopsida; Rosales; Cannabaceae. The transcript is spliced from 2 exons. The record is from RefSeq and is a predicted model, not a curated record.